UACAAGAAUAAUCAUAAUCAAUUACUCAUGUCAUCAUGUGUGUAACCUUAAUUUGUCCAUAAGAGUAACCCCAAUAUAUUAUACGAGCAACAUCAAUUAAUUAAAGAAAAAUAAGUAGCCCCAUUGGUUCAUCCAAGUAACCCGGCCUCUCUCCUUUUAUUUUUACUAUUAAAAGAAAAACUAUACUUGUUUAUAAGAGUAAUCCCUUUUUCCAUUACUGAAAACUCUUAUACAUUAAAAUAACCCCAUUUGAUCAUCGUUGUAACCCCCAUUUCUUAAUUAAUUGCUUCUAUGUAAAGUAGCAUAACAUUUGCCAACGCACAAUUUUAGCAUUUAGUAUCUCUAAUUAAGCAUUGUAAAAUUAUAAAAAGUGAAUAUUAAAAAAAAUUCAAACAAAAUUAUACAUGAUUAUGUUUUGUCGCAAUUAUAAAUCACAAAAAGUAAUCAAAGUGUAAUUAUAUAUAGUACAAAAAGUAUACCAACCAAAAAUACAAGAGAAUUUGUGACUUUGGACGGUGAGACUCUGAAAACAUAAUAACUAUAGAAGUCGAAAAUAUAUUCAGUAGACAUAAUCAUAUUCGUACAUAUUUCAGAUACUCAGAUGUCACCCUACGAGAGAAAAACCAAGAAAUUUGGUAAAUAACUCAUGAAGAAAAUUUAAUGCUUACAUCAUAAAUAUCUCUAUUUAUGUUCGAUAAUUUUCUCAAGUACUAGAUCGGAGAUCCUGCCGUAGUGCCACACCAUACGAAUACAUUUUUAUUUUUUUUUGGGUCUAAUGUCGACUGCCUUGGUCUUGGUCCCUUUUUUUUUCUUUUUCUUUUUUUUUUUUUUUUGUGUCACAUAAUUGUGCUACUUGUAAUAAUGAUCUUAAAUUUAUGGCCAUGGAAAAAGGAAAUAAACUUGAAUUUAUGAGGGUAAUCUCACUGAGGUAAAAUUUAUAAAGGCUCCCUUUUUCAUAAGGAGAGCCUGUUUUGUACACCCGGGUGUACCUUCUUCUAAGUACACCCGGAGGUAUAUUCGUAAGUUUAGAUUAGUUUGCCUGGUUAGACUUUCUUCUUCUCUUAUAUCGAUCAAUUUUCCCCCUUUCCAUAACUAUGAGAGCGGUAGGAGAUUCAAGCGACAUCGUUCCUGUUGCCAUUGGCGAAGUUUCCGUUAACAUUUGAUGUUCCAACGGCUCCAAAUUUUCAGUCAAAACUACGCUUGAUUCCAACAUCAACGCUUUCAAAUUGCUUGUUAUUGAUUGCGCAAAACUGUGAUGUUCCUGCCGAGCAGCAGAGGUUGAUCUACAAAGGUCAGAUUAUGAAAGAUGACCAAACCCUAGAAAGCUAUGCUAAAGCUGGAGCUGGAGAAGCAAAUUUGAUGAUAAUGAUGUUGAAUCAAAUUACAAAGAAGAGGAAGACGAUAUGGGUUCUUCAAGUUUCGUAGAGCUAUUCGCAAUACCAUUGAUGACGACGACAAUGAUUCAAAUAUUGUUUUGCUCAUUUAAUCAACAAAUGAGCAAUAAUUUUUGCUCAUUUAAUAAAUGACCAAUAAUUAUUUGCUCAUUUGUUGAUUAAAUGAGCAAAUGACCCGGGUGUACGAUACACCCGGGUGUAUAUAACAAAUUCUAUUUGGUAAGUAAUGUGCUAUAAAUAGAGUUCAUUUCUUCAAAAAAGUUAAGAUUGUGCUUUAUUUUUUAUGGCCUAGUAUAAUUUUUUAAGUGUACAGAGAGUCACAAAAGAUAUUGAUGUAUACGGAAUUUAAUUUCAUAUCUUAUUAUACAGUACUAAAUGAUACAUACUCCAUGUAAAAGAUUGAUGAAAUUAUUGUUAAAGCUAGCUACAUAAUUACAAAAUACUUAUAUAGAGUAAAUUUUUUGUUUCCAGUAUUAGUAAAUUCAAAUUAUUUUCUUACUCUAUUUCCAAAUAAGAUGAGUGUUUCUCUAAACUUGUACACAUAUGUACAUUACCUUACCCUAACCUUUCCAUUCAUUCUCAAAUAAUCUUUAUUGCGUUGACUAGUGAGAGGCUCUGACCUAGUUGGGCCAUCCUUUCCCUUACCUACCCCCAAAAAAAUUGUUACUUAGCUUUGUUAAUUUUAAUAUUGAUAAAAUCAAUGAGAGCAGAAAUUAAUUAGAUUAAAUAUAAUAAAUGUGAGAGUAAUGUAAUGGACUUUCGAACACUAGUAGCAUGGGACAAACUCAAUUUUUUUUUUUUAAAAAAAAUAAAUAAAUAAAUAAAUAAAUAAAACGACUCCACACAAGAAAAAUGGAAUAGAAUUCAAGGACGGGUACAGCAGUAAUAAGUUAUGCAACAUACACUAAGGUCCAAAGUCACUGGCUUAUAAAUUCUCCAUCAACACGGCCCCCCGGAUAGGCGUUGUACAAGACACACCUCGAUUUGUUGGCACCUUAUUGUAUCCUUAUUAUGUUUCCUUCAUUCUUUACUAAAGCUUCCAAUCUUUUUAUGAAUUAAUUAAGAAUUUGACUGUCUUCCAAAAAAUAAAAAUAAAAUAAAAUAAAAUAAAAAAGGAAUUUGACUCAACGAUAUUUUAACAAUUGGCAAACUGGCAAAGACAACACUAAUAUUGGAUACUCUUAUUAUUGAUGGUAAAGUUACCGUUGGACAUAAUAAUAGCUUUUGUUAUCUUGUGUUAAUUAAAAUAACUAUGAAUAUAUUAAAUAUUUUUAGCAGUUUCGUCACCUAUUAAAUUAAAUAAAACCAUAUAAAAAUUGAGUUAAUAUGAGAAAUGUGAAUUCUUAAGAAAAAUUUCAUGAUUUAAGAAUAAUGGUAAAGGCAUUAUUAUUUGUAUCCAAAAAAAAAAAAAAAAAAAAUUAUAUGCAUGUCUUUGAUUUCAAGAAAAAUAGUUUUUUAGGUCCGGGAGUAGCCCCGGGUCAAUUUAUUUUCACCUUAUAAAUUUUUAUUUUGAAAAAAAAAAAAAAAAGCAUCCAAAUAUUUAUGGUUUAGAUAUUGAUGUUAUAAUAUUGAGGGCAUGAGAGAUCAAAUCUUUUAAAAAUCAUGUUAUAAUUUCUUUGAUUGAUUGUGGGUGACAUGAAUUAUAAAAACGCUUUUUAAUAUAUUAGUAUAUAGAUUAAAGGGAUUAAUCAUAUAAUCUUUUGAACAAAUUAAAAUAGCUAGCUAGUUUGAGUAUUAUAUUAUUAUAUACAGUUUGAAUAGGUAAUUUUAGUCCCUCUGUUGUGUUUGUAUUGAACCUUUUAAUAUUCGCUAUAGGUAUAUACGUAUAGUACUUAGAUUAGUGCUCCUUUAUUUCUUUCCAACAAAUAACUGUGUAAGUAAUACAAAAAAUUAAAAGUGCAUUCAUCUAUUAUAAAAAAAAGAGAAGAAUAAAGAUGAAAAAAAUAAAAAGUUUGAGCCUAGUUUAAGUCACUGCCCAAUUAUUGGUAUAAUGAUAUCAAUACCCUUCUCAAGAAUCAUGUUUAUCAUGAUCAAACUCAUUACUACUAAACUAGCACAUAAUCAUUGUCACUGUAUAACCAGUACAGAUUAUUUAUCCUUAAUUUACUCUGGAUGUGCAUGUUUGUCAUUAUAAUAUUACUAUGUAUGGUAUAUCAUACUUGUAAUUAAUAAAGAUUGGUAAUUCUUUUCUAAUCUUUAGAUCCCGCUUUUCAGGCCAUUUUCUCUCUAAAGGGCAUCCCUAACUUGAUUGUCGAAGGGCCAUUUCCGAGAUCACCCCAAGGCAUCGUACUCUUAGGUCUUUUAGUUUUGUAGGCUCUCGGGCACACUUGAAUUGGAAGAAUAACUCUCAACCACUCCAGUCAAAACGACACCACACCAAUAUAUAUGGCAAUAUAUGUAAGAUCGUCAUCCCAAAUUAAAGUACCCCUCAUACUAUUAAUUUAAGAAUGAAUAUUCUAGCUGUUUCGAAAAUAUAAACCAUUACAAGUCUAACAACUAGGUUUGGGAAUGGAGAGGACUAAUUGAACAACAUACUGUAUUAAAGGUCAAGCAAAUUAAAGUAUACUCACAUAAUCUAUCUAGCCAUAA
Long non-coding RNA from Chenopodium quinoa (quinoa), 3983 nucleotides. RefSeq lists it as uncharacterized. The record is from RefSeq and is a predicted model, not a curated record. Lineage: Eukaryota; Viridiplantae; Streptophyta; Magnoliopsida; Caryophyllales; Amaranthaceae. The transcript is spliced from 2 exons.